RNAcentral lists this unclassified non-coding RNA (251 nucleotides) under uncultured Eurotiales. RNAcentral's name for it is "sequence contains 5.8S rRNA gene, ITS2, 28S rRNA gene". The stretch from base 1 to 52 matches the Rfam family "5.8S ribosomal RNA", at positions 103 to 154 of the family's 154-position model. The record is from RNAcentral. Lineage: Eukaryota; Fungi; Ascomycota; Eurotiomycetes; Eurotiales.
AACGCACAUUGCGCCCCCUGGUAUUCCGGGGGGCAUGCCUGUCCGAGCGUCAUUGCUGCCCUCAAGCACGGCUUGUGUGUUGGGCCCCCGUCCCCCGGGACGGGCCCGAAAGGCAGCGGCGGCACCGCGUCCGGUCCUCGAGCGUAUGGGGCUUCGUCACCCGCUCUGUAGGCCUGGCCGGCGCCUGCCGACACCAUCAAUCUUUUUUCCAGGUUGACCUCGGAUCAGGUAGGGAUACCCGCUGAACUUAA